ACACGUAGGGGACAAGCGUUGUCCGGAAUCACUGGGCGUAAAGGGCGCGUAGGCGGUUUUAUAAGUCAGAUGUGAAAGGUACCGGCUCAACCGGUGACGUGCAUUUGAAACUGUAAGACUUGAGUACUGGAGAGGCAAGUGGAAUUCCUAGUGUAGCGGUGAAAUGCGUAGAUAUUAGGAGGAACACCGGUGGCGAAGGCGGCUUGCUGGACAGAUACUGACGCUGAGGUGCGAAAGCGUGGGGAGCGAACAGGAUUAGAUACCCUGGUAGUCCACGCCGUAAACGAUGAUGACUAGGUGUUGGGGAAACUCAGUGCCGCAGUUAACACAUUAAGUCAUCCGCCUGGGGAGUACGACUGCAAGGUUGAAACUCAAAUGAAUUGACGGGG
RNAcentral lists this ribosomal RNA (389 nucleotides) under uncultured bacterium. RNAcentral describes it as "partial 16S ribosomal RNA". It matches the Rfam family "Bacterial small subunit ribosomal RNA", at positions 523 to 918 of the family's 1533-position model. The record is from RNAcentral.